This 104-nucleotide ribosomal RNA is filed under the name Caerostris extrusa. Lineage: Eukaryota; Metazoa; Arthropoda; Arachnida; Araneae; Araneidae. The record is from RNAcentral.
ACGGCCAUACCAUGCUUAAUAUACCGGUUCUCACCGAAGUCAAACAUCAUCGGGCGAGGUCAGUACUUGCGAGGGUGACCACCUGGGGAACACCGCGUGCCGUU